Molecule: ribosomal RNA, 914 nt
Filed under: uncultured marine archaeon
Lineage: Archaea
Description: bacterial SSU rRNA
Rfam family: Archaeal small subunit ribosomal RNA
Source: RNAcentral
UUCCGGUUGAUCCUGCCGGAGGCUACCGCUAUUGGAGUUCGAUUAAGCCAUGCGAGUCGCGAGAAUUAGAUUCUCGGCGUACCGCUCAGUAACACGUGGGUAACCUGCCCUAUGCUGGAUAAUAACCUCGGGAAACUGAGAAUAAUGAUCUAUAGUUCACUACGCCUGGAACGGUGAGUGGAUGAAAGCUCCGGCGGCAUAGGAUGGGCCUGCGGCGUAUCAGGUUGUAGGGGGUGUAACGUACCCUCUAGCCCUCUACGCGUACGGGUGUUGAGAGACAUCGCCCGGAGAUGGAUUCUGAGACACGAAUCCAGACCCUACGGGGUGCAGCAGGCGCGAAAACUUGGCAAUGCGAGAAAUCGUGACCAGGGAACUCCAAGUGCAUCGGGUAAGACCGAUGCUUUUCUAGACUCUAAAAAGGUCUUGGAAUAAGAGGUGGGUAAGGACGGUGCCAGCCGCCGCGGUAAUACCGGCGCCUCAAGUGGUAGUCGCUUUUAUUGGGCCUAAAACGUCCGUAGCCGGUCUGAUACAUUCGUGGGUAAAUCAACCAGCUUAACUGGUUGAAUUCUGCGAGGACGGUCAGACUUGGGACCGGGAGAGGUGUGGGGUACGCUCAGGGUAGGGGUAAAAUCCUGUCAUCCUGAGCGGACCACCUGUUGCGAAGGCGCCACACUAGAACGGAUCCGACGGUCAGGGACGAAGCCUAGGGGCACGAACCGGAUUAGAUACCCGGGUAGUCCUAGGUGUAAACGCUGUGGACUUGAUGUUGGGGGUGCUCCGAGCACUCUCAGUGUCGAAGCGAAGGUGAUAAGUCCACUGCCUGGGAAGUACGGUCGCAAGGCUGAAACUUAAAGGAAUUGGCGGGGGAGCACCGCAACCUGAGGAUUGUGCGGUUUAAUUGGAUUCAACGCCGG